This 260-nucleotide long non-coding RNA is filed under the name Homo sapiens (human). RNAcentral describes it as "non-protein coding lnc-CCDC103-2:3". Lineage: Eukaryota; Metazoa; Chordata; Mammalia; Primates; Hominidae. The record is from RNAcentral.
AGCAGCAGCAGGUGGCAGGAAGGAGUGGAGGGAAAGGACACCAAGUCUUGGGGAGAGGGAAGGACCCUUCUUCGGCCUUAGAGGGGAGAGGAGAACCCUGAAGUGGGCCCUCCCAGUCCCAUCUCUGGGCACAGAUCCCACCAGUCUGCUCACCAGUCUGCUCAGUCAAAGCAGAGUGGGUGCACUGGGGUGGACGUGUCAGCCCUGAGCACCCGGCCUCCAGGCUGCAGGAAUAUGAGCCAGUGUCUUCACUUUGCUCG